GGACCCGCACAAGUAGUGGAGCAUGUGGUUUAAUUCGAAGAUACGCGCAGAACCUUACCAACACUUGACAUGUUCGUCGCGACUCUAAGAGAUUAGAGUUUUCGGUUCGGCCGGACGAAACACAGGUGCUGCAUGGCUGUCGUCAGCUCGUGUCGUGAGAUGUUGGGUUAAGUCCCGCAACGAGCGCAACCCUCACUUUUAGUUGCCAUCAAGUAAAGUUGGGAACUCUGAAAGAACUGCCAGUGAUAAGCUGGAGGAAGGUGGGGAUGACGUCAAGUCCUCAUGGCCCUUACGUGUUGGGCUACACACGUGCUACAAUGGCAUUUACAAUAGGAAGCAAGACGGCGACGUUAAGCAAAUCCUAAAAAAUGCCUCAGUUCGGAUUGUACUCUGCAACUCGAGUACAUGAAGCUGGAAUUACUAGUAAUCG
This 430-nucleotide ribosomal RNA is filed under the name uncultured bacterium. RNAcentral describes it as "bacterial SSU rRNA". It matches the Rfam family "Bacterial small subunit ribosomal RNA", at positions 917 to 1344 of the family's 1533-position model. The record is from RNAcentral.